This 460-nucleotide ribosomal RNA is filed under the name uncultured bacterium. RNAcentral describes it as "partial 16S ribosomal RNA". It matches the Rfam family "Bacterial small subunit ribosomal RNA", at positions 338 to 795 of the family's 1533-position model. The record is from RNAcentral.
CCUACGGGUGGCAGCAGUGAGGAAUAUUGGUCAAUGGGCGCGAGCCUGAACCAGCCAAGUAGCGUGAAGGAUGACUGCCCUACGGGUUGUAAACUUCUUUUAUCAAGGAAUAAAGUGAGGCACGUGUGCCUUUUUGUAUGUACUUUAUGAAUAAGGAUCGGCUAACUCCGUGCCAGCAGCCGCGGUAAUACGGAGGAUCCGAGCGUUAUCCGGAUUUAUUGGGUUUAAAGGGAGCGUAGAUGGGUUGUUAAGUCAGUUGGGAAAGUUUGCGGCUCAACCGUAAAAUUGCAAUUGAUACUGGCAGUCUGGAGUACAGAUGAGGUAGGAGGAAUGCGUGGUGUAGCGGUGAAAUGCUUAGAUAUCACGAAGAACUCCGAUUGCGAAGGCAGCUUACGAAUCUGCCACUGACAUUGAUGCUCGAAAGUGUGGGUAUCAAACAGGAUUAGAUACCCUUGUAGUC